Molecule: ribosomal RNA, 583 nt
Filed under: uncultured bacterium
Lineage: Bacteria
Description: bacterial SSU rRNA
Rfam family: Bacterial small subunit ribosomal RNA
Source: RNAcentral
GGGAGGCAGCAGUGGGGAAUCUUGCGCAAUGGGGGAAACCUUGACGCAGCAACGCCGCGUGGGUGAUGAAGGCCUUCGGGUCGUAAAGCCCUGUCAGGUGGGAAGAAACGUAUCGGUGUUAAUACCGCCGAUAUUUGACGGUACCACCGGAGGAAGCACCGGCUAACUCCGUGCCAGCAGCCGCGGUAAUACGGAGGGUGCAAGCGUUGUUCGGAAUUACUGGGCGUAAAGCGCGUGUAGGCGGUCGGGCAAGUUAGAUGUGAAAGCCUUCCGCUUAACGGAAGAAGUGCAUUUAAUACUACCCGGCUGGAGUACGGGAGAGGAGAGUGGAAUUCCCGGUGUAGAGGUGAAAUUCGUAGAUAUCGGGAGGAACACCAGUGGCGAAGGCGGCUCUCUGGUCCGAUACUGACGCUGAGACGCGAAAGCGUGGGGAGCAAACAGGAUUAGAUACCCUGGUAGUCCACGCCGUAAACGAUGGGCACUAGGUGUAGGAGGUAUUGACCCCUUCUGUGCCGAAGUUAACGCAUUAAGUGCCCCGCCUGGGGAGUACGACCGCAAGGUUAAAACUCAAAGGAAUUGACGG